This 11673-nucleotide long non-coding RNA is filed under the name Populus trichocarpa (black cottonwood). Its description in RNAcentral is "long non-coding RNA (PTRI_LNC003407)". Lineage: Eukaryota; Viridiplantae; Streptophyta; Magnoliopsida; Malpighiales; Salicaceae. The record is from RNAcentral.
UGAAUAAGAGUUAUGGAGGGAUUGGUGUUGCAGAGUGUGGAAAAGUAGGGGUCAUCAAUGGAGAUUGAUUCAGUUGGCAUGGCGGAGAUUAUGAUUGUAAUUGAGAUUGAAGGGUGGUGUUCGAGAAUUUGCUUUCCUAGUUCCACCAUAGAGAAUAAGUGGCCUCUGCCAGGUGAUGGGUACAAGACUAUGGUAUCCUCCAUGAGGCAGGCUUCUCUCUUUUCGCACAACCACCGAAAGAGAGAAAGAUAGAGAUAUGAUAUCGCAGUAAGGACCUUGGAUGUGCUUUAUAUGCAAUUUAACUUUGGCUUUUUCUGUGGGCUUCACCUCAGUGAGUGUUUGUUUUUCCAGUCGAUUACUGCCUGUAUUUCAAAUGGCCUUUUACAGUAAAAAAAAACGUAUUAAAUUGUUUUUUUUUAAAUAUUUUUAAUAUACUAAUAUUAUAUAUAUUACUUCAAUUGAAAGCAAUUUUAAAAAAUAUCAUGCGAAAGCAUACUAAAAUCAUAUCAUGUGAUACUAUUAUAAUUGAUCGGCUUUGAAAAAAAAAUCAGUUCCAGGUGUAAUAUUGAGUUAAAAAAUAGUUGAAACAUCUACAUUUUUUUUAUGAUGCGAAUUACAAUCAAUUAUUGACAAAUAUUAUAAUACCUAAUAGUUAGGUAUAUUACAAAAAAAAAAAACUAAAAGUACUCAGCCUUGGCUUUUUCUAUAGCACGUGAAGAGAUUAAUUAUUGUGGAUUUAAGAAAAGUAAUAAAUAUUUUGCCCUUCAUUGUUUGGUAUUGAUGUAAAAUUUUCUUUUUUGAUGGACACAAAUGUCAUUUGUAGAUUGAUCAUUGUCAAUUUUCUCGUUCACCUUUGAAAAUACACGGUGAAAAUGACCUAUAGGCUAGCCCAUUAGCUCGCGCCACGCAAAAGAAAACAUCACCAAACAAAAAAAAUAUAGACAUUACAAAUAUAUCUUUUAAGAAAGUUCAAAUAUUUUAUUCAUGAAUUUAAAAUUAGUUGCAUAUCAGAAGAUAUUUUUAUCUAACAUGAGGAAGUAAACAUAUUGGAUCAACCUAGAUUAUUCUGGUUGACACUUGAAAGUUUCGGGAUAAUCUUGAAAAAAACAAGUUGAGAACUUAAAUCUUGAGUUAGUUCAAUGUUGAAGGACAAAAUAAAAAAAAUAUUUUUAUAGAAAACAAGUGAACCGGAGUCAACUAACCAAACUUUUCAUGCUAGUCAUACACGUCAUCGGAUUCAAUAAUUUUUUAUUCCAUAGAUUAGUUUCAUUUAAUAGAAUUACAUGAAAAUAAUGUGAAUGUGAUAUUUUUUAAUUAAAUAUUUUUUAAAAAGAAAAAAAUAACAUUAAAGAUGUCUGGGACUGGAGACAGCAAAAGCAAAUCGUUGUUAAUAAAGGGUGAAAUUGUUUUUUUUUUCUUUAAAUCUUAGUUAAUUAUAAAAAUAGAUCAUCGAUAAUAAGGAUGAAAAUGUUUUUUAAAAAAAAACAAUUGAGGUACUAAAAGUGCAUUAAGCAAAAAAAAUAAUACACUGAAUGUUGUGACUUAACUCGUCGAACUUACAAUCCCGGUCAUGAAACUAACAGGGUUAAUUUAUUUCAAUAUCUAAAAAGGGUGGAAAACCCCCAUAAGGCUAGCUAAUGCCUCAGCACACUAGGCCUCUAAAAAGAACAUCCCAGGCUUGCACACUUGAGCUUGUUUUUUCUUUUCUUUUCUUAUUAAAAUGGGCGAAUCUCUCUCCCCUUUCGCAUAAAAGGUUUGAAAAAUAAGGGGAAUAAACUUUUACAUCAAAAUUGAAUUUUUGAAAACUAAAAGGGGCAAUCACCUAUAAACCGAAAAAGAUAAGGGACUAAAAUAAAAAAUUUUGUAUGAAGAAUUCACCACCUAUUUAACUUGUUAUUUUCACUUUGAUUUUUUGACUUUCAAUCCAACCAUUUUGUAUUUCAUAUGAAAAAAUUAAGAAAAAAUCCAUGUGAAUAUAGGCUAUACAUGUUGUAAAUAAUGAAGUUAAAGUUUUUUAUCUCACAUUGAAAAAACCUAACUUUUUUCUUGUGAACAUAGAGUAUAUAUACUAAAGAGAUUCAAAUCUCACAUUGAAAAGAUAUUAUAUUAUCCUUUAAAAUUGAAGUAUUUAAACCAAAAGGUUUUUUAUCCCACUUUGAAAAACAUAACUUUUUUAUUAUGAACAUAGAGUAUAUAUACGAAAGGAUUUCAAAUCUCACAUUGAAAAAAUAAUUUUUUUCUUGGGAACAUAGAGUAUAUACAAUAAAAUCUCACAUUGAAAAAAUAAAAUAUUUUUCUAAUCUGUAUAUAGUGAACUUUAAAAAAUGUUAAUAACCAACUAAAAAAAUAUGAAAAAAGAAAGGUAUGGGAGGAAAACCACAUUUGAAAAGAAAAAAAAAAGGUCUCGUCCGGGUUCGCCUGAGUCGCCCAGGUACUGGAUUUUACCGGGUUGUUGAACCGGUCAGUCUUUUAACAAAUCCAUACUAGUCCAGCAAUCGAGUCAACCCACUAGGUCAGACCGGGUUUAAUAACAGUACCCACAAGAAUGAGCAAAUUUUGGGCUAGAUGGGGUCUGGAUUGCCAUUUCCAUGUAAAUUGACUCUCCUCGCUACAGCCCAAAGUCACUUCAUUUUUUUUAAGCCAAAGAAUAUUUUCAAAUCAUUUACGCAUUUAAUUAUUUUUUCAAAUGAUUUUAAAAAAACGUACUCUCGUAUCGAAACCCACAAAAAAGAAGAAAAGGAAAUGAGGAUAUGUACUAGACCACUCCCUUUAAAUUUCUUGAAGAUAAUUGUUAGAUAGAGGGGUUGAAACCAGUCCCAUCUAAAUUUGACCACUUGCCAUGAAAUUGCAUGAUUCAUGGGUUUGAAUGGCAGCUCGUGAGCGUUGUUUUUUUUUUUUUUUUUUUUUAAUAUGGGGUUAUCCGAAUACUGAAUGAUCAAGUAUCCUAGUAUAUUUUUUAAUUUUUUUUAUCCAGGUUGUUUCGGAUACAGGAUGAUCAAUAAUCUAAUAAAUAAAUAAAUAUUUAUUUAUAAUGAUUUAUAAAAGCUCGAAUUCUGUGCUUAAAUUGAAGGAUUAAAUUAAAUUUUUUUUAAAAUUAACUAUUUUAAUUCAUAAUAAUUUACGAGAGGAUGCGCAGAGAGAUUUGCCAUAGUAAAAAACCACAAAAACCAAUUUGGCAACCUAAAAAACAUUUUUAAUGCUAUAGUUUUUAACCCAACAAAACCAUUUUUUCAACCCAUUUAAAGCCAAGAACACCUAAAAACCAAUCUUAUAACAUGUAAAAAUCAAUUUGGCAACCUAAAAAACAACUCAAAUCACAAAAUGAAACCAAAUAAGUUCUCUCGUCCUCGACUUGGAUAUGUUUUUUAGGCAAUAUCAAGGCUUAAAGUAAUCUUCGUAAGACUCCUUUAAUCGAGUGUAACCCAUUGACACUGAUUCCAAUUGUUUUAAUGGCCUGAAUAUGUGUAGACGAUGAUGUUCUCAAGGACUAAAUUAAAUUUUUUAAAAAACUAACUGUUUCAAUUCACAAUAAUUUAUGAGAGAGUAUUUAAUCAUUUUAAUGUACUGAUCUCAAAAAUAAUUUUUAAAAACUAAAAAAACAUUAUUAACAUAUUUUUAUAUGACCCAUCUAUCCUAAAGAACAACAAGCAAGCCUAACUUUACCAAAACCCGCAAGAGGGGUUGAAACCAGUCCCCAUCUAAAAUUGUUAGAUAGAGAGGGGUUGAAACCAGUCGCUUUUAAAUUUCUUGAAGAAUAUAGUGUCAAUAAAUAGUGAAUUAAUUGUUAGAUAGAGAGGGGUUGAAACCAGUCCCAUCUAAAAGUGACCAUGGGUAUGAAAAUUACAGUGCUCAUCUCUUCACGCUUUGAUUCAUGGGUAUGAAAAUUACAGCCCUGUGAGCGUUGUUUUCUUUUUUUCCCCUUGCUAGAGUGAUUUGAAAGUUGAUUUAUUAUUUUUCUUAUUUUAUUCCACAAUAAGAUUAUUUAUUUUUAGAUAAAUUUAAAUAUCAAUCAAGAUUAAAUAACAUAAUUAUUACCCCCUUCUUAAUUAAGUAUGACAUUUGAACUGUCUACCAAAUCUCGACGUCCUUUCUUCACUGAGCUGCAACUUUUAAUUCUCUUAAAUGCUGGAUUAACUUAAUUAGCACUCGAGCAGUAUUCAAGAGAGAACUAUUAAGCUAAUAAAUAUUAAAGAAAAUUUAAUUAAAGAAAAAAAUAAAGCAAUGGGUGACGAGCUUUCGACACCCUUGGAAUUAUUAAGCACAACACGUCAGAAUGACACAGAUAUUGUUAUUAUUGGAUUCAUAUCGGAUAUAGGACUAUCCGCCUGGAAUGACAUACCAUGUAUUUAUUGAAUAUAUAAAUGUGGAGAAAAGGUUUAAAAAUUACCUAACCAACCACUCUAAUAUUUUGAAUUGAGAGCAAUUCUUUAACAUUUUAUGAACCGUGUUCGUUAAUGUUAUCUUCCGAUCAAGUAAAGCACGAGAACGCUAUUAAAAUUAUAUAUUUUUAAAAGUUUUAAGUUUUUUUGUUUUUUUUUAAUAUAUUUUUUUUUGUUUUUUGAAUUAUUUUAAUGUUUUAAUAUCAAAAAUAAUUUAAAAAAAAUAAAAAAUAUAUUAUUUUAAUAUAUUUGGGUCUUGCUAGGAGGCCAGGCCCAACAACGUUAUUGGGUCUGUUUCAUUCAAAAUCUAAGUCUGCAAUUGACCAGAAGUAAACCAGUCACCCGGCAUGGUCAACCCAAAACUAGGGCGAUCCGGCAAAAAUCUGAAAGAGACCUUUUUUUUUUUCAAAAGUGUUUUUUCAAGAAUUAUUAUAAAAUAGAGAUGAAUAUAGGGUCUUUGGAGACCGACCUUGUCAGGAGAGGGGCGAAGCAGCUUGACCAUAGCGGGAGGGGUGGUCACUCGUAUAAGUCACAGCCCUCCCUUGGGUCGCCUUCUAAGAUCAAAAGCUAGAGAAUCCUAUGUAGUUCGUUCCCUUACGGUUGAGACUUUGGAAUUCAAAACCCUCGCCUGUUGGCUUUCGCUCCCGGCUUCCCUGCCGGAAAUAGUUGCCUAAGCCCUCCUUUUGCUAUGAAAAAAAGGCACUUUCUUCUGGAAUCACCAACACGUUUAGUCGUUGAUCUAUUGUUGAGACUUGAGAGGUUUGAUUGGUUUCAAAUUUCAGCUGAUGCUUGGAGUUGGCAUGUCUUUGGUUGUCUCGUGUAUGUGUUUGAGAGUCUAAUGAGAGGAGGUGGCCGCAGGUGCUAGGAUUAGGUUGCUGGCACAAAGAUUUGUUUAUUUUUUAGAAUCGGUUCGGUUCGGUCCGGUUUAACUGAUUUCUGCAUUACAAAAUCGAAAACCGAACCGAGAUUUUUUCUAAAUAUUUUAAUCAGUUUUUUUGCUCGGUUUGGUUUUUUCGGUUUUUUUUUUGUUUUCUCACUUUAUUAUUUAUAAAAAAAUAAUAUUAGAUACAUAUCGGAUAUCGGUUUCGACACCCUUGGAAUUAUUAAGCACAACACGUCAGAAUGACACAGAUAUUGUUAUUAUUGGAUACAUAUCGGAUAUAGUUCUAUCCGCCUGGAAUGACAUCCCAUGUAUUUAUUGAAUAUAUAAAUGUGGAGAAAAGGGUUUAAAAAUUAACUUUACCUUUUGAUAUUAUUAUUUAUUGAGUAUAUAAAUGACAUUUUGAAUUGAGAGCAAUUCUUUAACAUUUCUUGAACCAUGUUCGUUAAAGUUAUCUUCCGAGCAACCAAGCACCUGGAACGUUAUUGAAAUUAUAUAUAUUUUUUAAAAUUUUAAAGUAUUUUGUUUAAACUUUUAUUUUUAUUUUUAUUUUUUGAAUUAUUUUAAUGUUAUAUAUUUUGAAUUAUUAAAACUUAUAUUAUUUUAAUGUAUUUUCACAACAAAAAAAACUAUUUUAAAAAACAAUCAUUAUUAUAUUUUCAAAUACAUUUUUAACAUGUUAGGAUCCCACUUCGAACUUCUCCUUCUCCUUCCUGGUUGAUAAGAUGGGUGUUUUCUUGAUAUUGUUUCCCCACUCUAUCUAUAAAAAAAAUUUGUUGCUUACUACAACAACAUUGAACUCUAAUCCCUUUAAUUAUUUCAUAGUAUUUAUUUAUAUAUGUAUUAGCAGAACUUUAAAACGCGUGAGAUUUCUACUAUACAUGAAUGUGUUUUGGACCAAAAAACAAUUUACUGUGGACUUACUAUACAUAUAUACAUUAUAGACCAAGAGACAAUUAACUGUGGACUUGUACAAUUGCUUAGCUAUAUAGUAAAAUGUAUGGAGAUUUUUCACUGUGAACCAAGAUACAAUUAACUGGACGACACUGUAGCCAACCGCAACCUGGAGGCGUUCCUUUCCUGUGUUUUUAGUCGAGAAUUGCGGCUGAGGGCGUUGCUCAUUUGACUUUUGCCAUUAAGAUGAGAACGAUGCAGCGGCAGAGGCGAUAGUAGAGCCGUUGGGUUUGGCUUUGGUAGCCAAACCCAACACUGUUGGUUCAGGUUGCUGCAGCAGGACACAUUAGCUUUGGGUCCUGCCCCCAGCAAGACCCCAAGACGCCUCUUUAUGCCUCUGCACAUCGUAUAUAUGUAUAUCUUCUUCACUACAGUAUAACACCACCAUUGAAUAUUAAUGUAAGAUCAUUGAUCAAUAAGGACGACUGGCUUCCAGUCGUAACAGUCAUACCAGUUAAAUUUCUUUGUCGUUGUCUUCUCUUAUUCAAAUUUAUAUUUCAAAAUAAAUUGAUGAGAUUUCUUUUAUAUUGUAUAAAAGUUGGGUGAUGAUAAUUUUUUCACGUUUCAGGUUGGGUUGAAUUUCCUAAUUAAAUCAUGUUAGAUUUUGUGUUUCGAAAAUUGUUUGAAAAUAAUUUUUAAAUUUUUUUCUUAGCUUCAAAUUAAUAUUUUUCUUAUGUUUUGGUAUUAUUUCAAAAACAAAUAUGUUGAGAUUGUGUCUUACUGCGAGGCUAAACCCAAGAAAUUUUAAAAUUUUUAAUUUUUUUCUUUACUUCAAAAUAAUAUUUUCUUCAUGUUUUUGUAUUAUUUUUUAAAUAUUUUUUUUGAAAAAAAACAUAUAUGGAGAUUGUGUCUGGUUGAGAGGCAAAACUCAAGAAAUUGAAAAAACUUUUAUUUUUUUUACUUCAAAUUAAUAUUCGUUUGAUAUUUUUUUUCUUUACUUCAAAUUAAUUAGAUCAUGUUUGAUUUUGCAUUUCAAAAUUUCUUUGAAAAAAAUUUGACAAUUUUUAAGUUUUUUUUCUUUACUUCAAAUUAAUAAUCUUUUUAUGUUUUCGUAUUCUUUUUUAAAAAUAUGAUGGCAUUGUGUUUGGCUGCGACGCUAGACCCAAGAAAUUUUAAAAUUUUAAUUCUUUUAUUUGUUUCAAAAUAAUACUUUUUGUCAUGUUGUUAUAUUUUUUAAAAAUAUAUUUUUUAAAAAAAUAUUGAGAUUGUGUCUGGCUGAGUAAAUAAUUCUCUAAUAUUGUCGUAUUAAAAUUGAUGGAGCUCUCAAUAAAUUUUUGAUUCACAUCAUAUACUUUAUAAAGUUUUGGUAUUAUAUAUGAGAUUAUUUAUUGGGUGCUAGAAGAUAUUUUAAUUUUAUAACAUUUUUUCAAAAUAAAUUGAUGAGAUUUCUUUUAUAUUGUAUAAAAGUUGGGUGAUGAUAAUUUUUUCACGUUUCAGGUUGGGUUGAAUUUCCUAAUUAAAUCAUGUUAGAUUUUUUGUUUCGAAAAUUGUUUGAAAAUAAUUUUUAAAUUUUUUUCUUUGCUUCAAAUUAAUAUUUUUCUUAUGUUUUGGUAUUAUUUCAAAAACAAAUAUGUUGAGAUUGUGUCUGACUGUAAGGCUAGACCCAAGAAAUUUUAAAAUUUUUAAUUUUUUUCUUUACUUCAAAAUAAUACUUUCCUCAUGUUUUUGUAUUAUUUUUUAAAUAUUUUUUUUGAAAAAAAACAUAUAUGGAGAUUGUGUCUGGUUGAGAGGCAAAACUCAAGAAAUUGAAAAAACUUUUAUUUUUUUUACUUCAAAUUAAUAUUCGUUUGAUAUUUUUUUUCUUUACUUCAAAUUAAUUAGAUCAUGUUUGAUUUUGCAUUUCAAAAUUUCUUUGAAAAAAAUUUGACAAUUUUUAAGUUUUUUUUCUUUACUUCAAAUUAAUAAUCUUUUUAUGUUUUCGUAUUCUUUUUUAAAAAUAUGAUGGCAUUGUGUUUGGCUGCGACGCUAGACCCAAGAAAUUUUAAAAUUUUAAUUCUUUUAUUUGUUUCAAAAUAAUACUUUUUGUCAUGUUGUUAUAUUUUUUUAAAAUAUAUUUUUUAAAAAAAUAUUGAGAUUGUGUCUGGCUGAGUAAAUAAUUCUCUAAUAUUGUCGUAUUAAAAUUGAUGGAGCUCUCAAUAAAUUUUUGAUUCACAUCAUAUACUUUAUAAAGUUUUGGUAUUAUAUAUGAGAUUAUAUAUUGGGUGCUAGAAGAUAUUUUAAUUUUAUAACAUUAGUGUAGGAGAUUCAAAGUUUUAUCAAUGUUUUAUUAUCUUUAAAUUUUUUAUACAAUAGUUUUGAAUUAUAUAUAUUAUUAAAUACAUAAAUAAAUUAUGUGUUAGGUCCAGCCCCUUGCAAGAACCAUUAGGGUUGGUCCUGCCGGGUGCAGGACCCAACAUUGCUUUGGGUCCUGACGUGUGCAGAAUCCAAUUGGGUGUUGAAUCAUGUCGGGUGCAGGGCCCAGAAUACCUCUGGGUUCUGCCGGGUGCAGGACUCAAAAUAGCUUUGGGUCCUGCCUGGUGCAGGACCCAUGUGGGUGUUGGGUCCUGUCAGUGCAGCACCCAGCCUCACACACACCAUGACCCAACAAUUAGGGCCCUGCCACCCAAUUCAUCAAGACCCAACAACAUUGGGCCUCAGAACCAGGACUCAACAGCUUUGGGCCUUGCCUCCCACCUACCUUGACCCAACGCCUAAUUGGAUCUUGCUGCCACCAGGACCCAACAACUUUGGGUCCUGCCUACUACCAUGACCCAACACCUAAAUGGACCCUUCUGCUACCAGGACCCAACAUCUCUGAAUCCUUUUCUAACCAGGACCCAACAGCUUGGGCCAUGCCCAAAGUAGCACCCAACACUUUGGGUCCUGCUAGUAGGUCAGGCCCAGCAGCGUUAGUGGGUCUUUUUCAUUCAAAAUCUAAGUCUGCAAUUGACCAGGAGUAAACCAGUCAACCUGCAAGGUCAACCCGAAACUAGGGCGAUUCGGCAAAAAUCUGAAAGAGACCUUUUUUUUUUCAAAUGUGUUUUUUCUCCUACACUAGACCCUUCGUUUUCUUAUAUUUUUAAGUUGGUUACUAACUCGUUUCAUAGUUCACUAUAUAAAUACUAUAAUAAUGUAUUUUUUUCCAUGUGGGAUUUGAAAUAUUUUAGUAUAUAUUUAUGUUUUGUCAAUAUGAGAUAAUAAACCUUUUUGGUUUAAAUACAAAAUAAAGUGACAUGACGGGUUAAAAAAUCAAAAACAAAAAAAUAGACAAAACAUCCUCUCUUUUAUUUUGUUUAGGAGUUCUUUUAAAAAAAUUUGAUUAUUUGAUCCGCGGCGAAGGAAGGUUCACAUAGCUAGUAUACAUAUAUUUAUUAUUAGUUUAUUCAAUCAAAUAUCAUCUCAUUUUGUAACAUGUAACUUCUUUUUAUUGUCACCAACGUGUGCAAGAGGCUUAACAUGAUCAUUUAUUAUUUUUUGUUCCAAGGUAUCAAUACCCUAUUAUUUGCGAUUUGUUGUCAUGAAUAUAUAAUCUGUUUUGCUUGAUAAUGCAUUGCAUAUUGCAUGAUAUUUUUGUGAAAAUAUCUUUUAAUUAAUCUGUUUUGCUUGAUAAUGCAUUGCAUAUUGCAUGAUAUUUUUGUGAAAAUAUCUUUUAAUUAAAAACAUAUCAAGAUUAUGUUUAUUUAGGUUUCUUUAUUUUUAAUAUUAAUACAUUAAAAUUAUUAAAAAAAUUAAUUUAUAUUAAUUAGUGACAAAACAAUGGCUUGAUACAUCACAAAUCCUUGUCUCCUCAGGGCCUUGCAAACAGAGCACCAACUUAAUUUGAAUUUACUUUUCUUUUGAAAGAUUACAUAUUGAAAGUUCAUGUUCAGGUAAAAAUGAUCAGCAAACAAGAUAGAUCCCAUUGUUGAACACUAAUGGUUUCAAGCCCGCGGUUUACAAUUAUCAACCUUUUUUAAAACAAUCCACCAACUUAGCCAUGGCUAUGCAAGAAGAUCCUCCGUCACUCUUUGCCACCACCGCAUCCUCCCUAAGUUUCAGAACCCUUUCUCGAACAGCUUCACCUUUCUUCGAGUUCAUCAGCUCAAUCACACGCUCCUCCAGCUCGGCCGCGUUCACAAACUGAUCGUCCCCAGCUUCUCUAAAUGCUAGAGCCACCUUCAUUUCCUCAACCAAGAAAAUCCUAUUCAUCCUUUGCUCUGCAUACAGAGGCCAAGCCACCAUUGGCACCCCAGCACACAGGGCUUCAAGUACAGAAUUCCAUCCACAAUGAGUCACAAACCCUCCAACCGAGCCGUGGUUGAGUAUUUCAACUUGUGGUGCCCAUGAAUUCACUAGAAAUCCCCGAUCUUGGGUUCUCUCCAAGAACCCUUCUGGCAAAAGUAAAUCCAAACAUGGCUCAUUUGGAGUGCUUGACCUGCCUGCUUGGGUUUGGCUAUCAGCCAGGGGAGGACGCACCACCCAUAAGAACCUAACACCACUUUUCUCCAACCCAAUAGCCGUUUCCCUUAACUGACGCGAAUUAAAGACUCCCAUGCUGCCGAAACAAAGAAAUAAAACACUGCGGGUUGGUUGCGAGUCAAGCCAUGUCAGACACUCGUGUUCGCUUUUGCUUUCGCUAGUGGUUAAAAGUGGACCAACGCAAAACAAUGGUGGUACUGGCUCAUCUGGGGCGCCGCACUUUCCUUCUUGUAUUGCCUGAAGUGCCUUACGUUCAAGGAACUCAAAUGUAUUUAUUAUGAGUCCUGCAGACUUGAUCAUCAGCUUGGCAGUGUCAACGAAGUAUUGGUAAACUCUGUGGGACCGGUCAGAAAUAGCCGGUGGCAACUCUUUUGAUGGAAUUUUUGGUAUGCCAGGUAAAUCAAUAAUUAUGUCAAGGUCUUUGAAGCUCUUUGUGAUGAUCUUAUCAAGGAUAGGGAGGUGAAGAAACGUGCAGAGGCCACUUGCAUCAGAAGUGUAGAAAAAGUAAAUGGGGAUGUUGUGUCUAGAGGACACAAACUCAAAAGCAGCACUGCAGAAGAAAUCUGUAAUCAAGGCUUUUAUAUUGGAGGAUUUAGAAAGAUUUAAGAGGGUCUGGUGGAGGUUGGUGUUGUUGAGCUCAGGGAGCUCAAAGAAAGAGGAUACGAAAUCUAGAGGAGAAAAGGAGGUGUUGGGAGGGAGAGAAACUUGAGGGAGGUGAAUAAGAGUUAUGGAGGGAUUGGUGUUACAGAGUGUGGAAAAGUAGGGGUCAUCAAUGGAGAUUGAUUCAGUUGGCAUGGCGGAGACUAUGAUUGUAAUUGAGAUUGAAGGGUGGUGUUCGAGAAUUUGCUUUCCUAGUUCCACCAUAGAGAAUAAGUGGCCUCUGCCAGGUGAUGGGUACAAGACGAUGGUAUCCUCCAUGUGGCAGGCUUCUCUGUUUUCGCACAAGUCCACAACCACCGAAAGAGAGAAAGAUGGAGAUAUGAUAUCGCAGUAAGGACCUUGGAUGUGCUUUAUAUGCAAUUU